Acinonyx jubatus (cheetah) is the source of this 2349-nucleotide long non-coding RNA. RefSeq lists it as uncharacterized. The record is from RefSeq and is a predicted model, not a curated record. NCBI's taxonomy places the organism in Eukaryota, Metazoa, Chordata, Mammalia, Carnivora, Felidae. The transcript has 2 exons.
CCAAUCGCUCUCUGCCUCUCGCACAGGCUCUGUUUCCUCCUCUACUACUGGGCAGUUUCUUCCGUCAGGUCUCAGAAACUCCAACCAACGGGAGCCAGUCAGGAGCUCCGCACUCAGCCAAUGGGGACUGAGCGGGAAGUAAGCAGAGCCCCGCGCUGCAUUGAGGGCGCUCUUCCUGGCUGGCUCCGUAUUCUUGGGCCGUCAGGUGAGGCAGCGGCUGGACUCCCACCCUGAACCCCCACUCCCGAGGUACCUCCCGGUGAGGUGCCGGCCCACUCCCUGCCCCAGGGCCUCCGUGGGAGCAGAAAAGAGUUAUGAGACCUGGAGCCUGAGUGCCCCUUCCCUCCCUCCCGCCUCAUUAUUUCCAAGAUGAGCUUGGCCCAAACACCGGUUUCCGUGGGUUCAAGACAUGAGUCGUCGUCUCUUGUUAUGAGCCACCUCGGGGCUGUCAUGGAUUCGGUCAGUGAUAAAGCGCACAGACACUGUUGGUGCAAUUACAAGUGAAAUGGUAAUCACUUCUGAACACGAAGAGAUCAUGGAAACCCAAACCUUGUCUCGAGUUCAGAUGCCUGCCUUCUGCACCUGCAUAGGCUGCCCCCACACCCACUGUCCUGACAGCAAAUGCCCCCUGGGUAAGUAGUUUUAUUUAUUUCAGAGAAGUUUAAAUUACUCAAAGAAAAAUACCUGAGUAAAUCCAGUCAUAAAUGUUCUAUGUAAUUUCUGCUUUCUGGUUUUGAACAUAAAAAAAUAUUUUUGUAUAUAUAGGACAGGAGUUUGCUCAGAACCAAAGGCAUAUUGCCACCCUUGUCUCCCUGUAUUGGGACAGUCUUCUUUUCUGCUGCCCUGUCAUGGCAGAGAGAGAGACAGAGACAGAGACAGAGAGACAGACACAGAGACGGGAAAAUACAUCGCUCCUGCUUUGGGACAAAGUGGGGUCGGCGUCCCAGGCACGCAAAGACUGCUUUGAUGAAAACCAAGAUGUUUCUAGAGGACUUUCUCCAACUCUCUCAAACCCGACGCUCAGCCACAAGUACAGUCACAGCUACAGUACAUACCACCCUCCAGAGAGAGGGCAGAGGAGGGUGGGGUGUUCAAGAAUCAGCUCUCCUUUCCAAAGAACAGAAAACUGUGCACGCUAUCCUGAAAACAAACAAAAACUAGACGUCCUAUGAAGUCAUCACGAAGUGCAGUUGUACUAUGCACGACAGAUACGUGUGUGCUCACCGUGAAAAUGUGACCUGUGUGUGGCCUUAUAAAGGUGCGGAGGAAGCUCCAAGUGAGGAAAUGAUCAUUUUAUAUUUUCCUGUACAUUUCUUAGCCUGUUAACAUUAUCGUGUGUGCCUUGAAAACUUUCGAAGGAAAGUCCACAGGAAGAAUUGCAAAUGACCAAAUCCGUUGCCAGCACCAAGGAAGUCCAAGGUGGCAACUACGAAGCCCACACAAACCCGACACCCAUAUGUACACAACCAGACUGUCCUUUUAAAGUCCCUGGCCCUUUAUUUUGUAGCACAACUUCACACAACCCGUUGUAAGAUCAAACAGUGAGGAUACUCCGGUGUUUGUUUCCUGGGCUCAUCUUGAAUCUGCCCCAGCAGUGUGUUUUAGGUCACUGGUUCUAGCUAUAAUUCAAGCCCAGGACAACUGGAGGGGAUGUGGGAGGGAGGGCCCAGUCCCUCGAACCACCAGGCGGAGGAGGGAAUUAGGAACCCCCCCCCCCCCAGAAGGCCACACCAUACUGUCAGGGGAAAAGAAAGAAAACAAAGGAGCAGAAUGGAGUCAAGAAAAAGUGAGGGAGAGAGAACGUCCAGAAUUUAAAAACCACACGAACAGAAGCUUUACUUCGAAGUAUCAAAGCCAUAAAUGGUCUUGAGGGGGCAUGUUUCAAUGUGACACUGUGCAUGGCUUCCUUCUCUCAGACAGUGUGGGUGUAAGUGGCGCACGGUGUUAUUUUCAGAGUUCUAACUUGAAAUCCAAGUGUCUUGUGACUCAGCCUUCACAUUUCUCACAAAGGACUACGUUCCUCAUGGGUGGGGAUGAUUGUAACACAGGCUUCCAGCAAACUUCUGUAGAGUUGCCCUCACUGUCCCAACUUUCCUGACACAGGGUGGCAGUGAACACACAGAAAAACAAAGGGCGGGGGCAGGUCGGUGGGUUAAGCCUCCAGCUCUUGAUUUCGGCUUAGGUCAUGAUCUCAUGGUUCUUGAGUUCAAGCCCUGAGUAGGGCUCUGGGCUAACAGCUUGGAACCUGGAGCCUGCAUGGGAUUCUCUCUCUCCGUCCCUCCCUCACUCUCUCUCUAAAAAUAAAUACAAAUAAACAAAAAAAAAAAGGGGGGGGGGCUAAGACCCUUC